AUACGGAGGGUGCAAGCGUUAAUCGGAAUUACUGGGCGUAAAGCGUGCGCAGGCGGUUUGUUAAGUCAGAUGUGAAAGCCCCGGGCUCAACCUGGGAACUGCAUUUGAAACUGGCAAACUAGAGUGUGGUAGAGGGAAGCGGAAUUCCUCAUGUAGCGGUGAAAUGCGUAGAUAUGAGGAGGAACACCAGUGGCGAAGGCGACUUCCUGGACCAACACUGACGCUCAUGUACGAAAGCGUGGGUAGCAAACAGGAUUAGAUACCCUAGUAGUCC
RNAcentral lists this ribosomal RNA (274 nucleotides) under uncultured bacterium. Its description in RNAcentral is "partial 16S ribosomal RNA". It matches the Rfam family "Bacterial small subunit ribosomal RNA", at positions 523 to 796 of the family's 1533-position model. The record is from RNAcentral.